This 166-nucleotide non-coding RNA is filed under the name Bacillus sp. (in: firmicutes). Its description in RNAcentral is "Bacillus sp. GlcN6P sequence". It matches the Rfam family "glmS glucosamine-6-phosphate activated ribozyme aptamer". From Rfam's summary of the family: This entry contains a glucosamine-6-phosphate activated ribozyme that is found in the mRNA for GlmS. GlmS is an enzyme that uses fructose-6-phosphate and glutamine to generate glucosamine-6-phosphate. The record is from RNAcentral. Lineage: Bacteria; Bacillati; Bacillota; Bacilli; Caryophanales; Bacillaceae.
AGUAUUAAAAAAGCGCCAGAACUACACUAGACGAGAAUGUGUAGUUGACGAGGUGGAGUUUUAUCGAAGUUUCGGCGGAUGACUCCCGGUUGCUGUAUCACAACCGAAAUUAUUUAUGUAAAACACAUAGGUGACUGUGUGCACAAACGUAAAUAAUCUGAUACAC